RNAcentral lists this ribosomal RNA (484 nucleotides) under uncultured bacterium. RNAcentral's name for it is "partial 16S ribosomal RNA". It matches the Rfam family "Bacterial small subunit ribosomal RNA", at positions 29 to 507 of the family's 1533-position model. The record is from RNAcentral.
AUUGAACGCUGGCGGCAUGCUUUACACGUGCAAGUCGAACGGCAGCGCGGGCUUCGGCCUGGCGGCGAGUGGCGAACGGGUGAGUAAUACAUCGGAACGUGCCCAGUAGUGGGGGAUAGCUCGGCGAAAGCCGGAUUAAUACCGCAUACGACCUGAGGGUGAAAGCGGGGGAUCUUCGGACCUCGCGCUAUUGGAGCGGCCGAUGGCAGAUUAGCUAGUUGGUGGGGUAAAGGCCUACCAAGGCGACGAUCUGUAGCUGGUCUGAGAGGACGACCAGCCACACUGGGACUGAGACACGGCCCAGACUCCUACGGGAGGCAGCAGUGGGGAAUUUUGGACAAUGGGCGAAAGCCUGAUCCAGCAAUGCCGCGUGUGUGAUGAAGGCCUUCGGGUUGUAAAGCACUUUUGGCGGGAACGAAAAGGACUGUGCCAAUACCACGGUUCGAUGACGGUACUCGCAGAAUAAGCACCGGCUAACUACGUG